AAGUUCGGUUGGUGUUUCUGCAGAGGUUUCCCCCUCGAGCGGUGGCAGAGUUUCUGAGUGCGGUAGUAGCAGCUCUGGCGGCAGCAACAGUGACUACGAGGGAUGGCGGCGGCUGCAGCAGGACCUGCAGCAUCUCAGAGAUUUUUCCAGAGCUUCUCAGAUGCUGUAAUCGACCAGGACCCCCAGGCGGCGUUAGAGGUGUGCAGUGAAGACAAACUAUGAAGCUCUAAAGGAAUGUAAA
This 241-nucleotide long non-coding RNA is filed under the name Rhinopithecus roxellana (golden snub-nosed monkey). RNAcentral describes it as "lncRNA (ENSRROG00000045880.1)". The record is from RNAcentral. Lineage: Eukaryota; Metazoa; Chordata; Mammalia; Primates; Cercopithecidae.